GAACAAGAUUUCAAAACCCUUAUGGAUCGUUAGGGUUUCUGACUAAAAGAAUUCGAAUUUCUCUUGUAAUUUGGGCAACAAUGGAGGAAAACAAAAUCGAAACCGAAAAGCCCUCCCAAACUCCAAUCGUUUUCCCUCCUCACCGUCGAAGGCACCUCAACAGCGGAACGUACCGUACAUUGGUUCGAAUAUUCUCUCACUUCAAGGAGUCCCAGCAUUCAGUUUCCGAUCAAAAUGUACCUCAAGAGCUUAAUCGAGAUAAUGGCAACAACGAAUCGGUGCAAGAAGCUGAAAAGGAAGUGCCGGAGAAUGCUGAAUUGGUUGGCCCUGACAAUGCGAAGGGGAGAGUGGCUGAUGAGUGUUGUAAUGAUAAUGGUUUUCGAGAAAGGAUAGAGCAGAUAGAGAGUUUACUGAGCGUGGAAGAAAAUGAGGAUUUUUCGGGACUGGAAGACACGAUAGACAUAGAAAACAUUCUUGCCAUUGAUUUAAAAGAUAUGGGGUUUUUUCCUAAGCAAAUGCUGGUGGAUGAGCCAGAGUUGGUUGUGAAAGGGAAUCGUGAACCCUCUAUCGCAUCAUUGGACCACAACCAGAAUGGCGGUGAUAAGGCUGCAUUGUUGACUAACGAAGAAGAACAUGUAGAAACUGUGACAUCUCAAGAUUCGGUUCAAAUGGUUUCUGUAAGCCAUGGUUCAUCUUUAAAAACUGUUGAGGUGACUGAAAGUUUAAAUCCAAGAGAGUCUACUGAACACAAACAUUCCUUGUCGAAGACUAGCGCAUUGGAUGUAGAGCCUAUAAUGCAACUGGAAUCAAUGGAACUACAGACUCCUGUUUCUGCCGAGGGUGCGAUCGAAUCGUCUAUUCCAAUUACUGAACUUGGAGCGAUUAAGGAGACAGAAAUCUUUAGUCAAAAUGUCCCUGAAGCCUUUGAUUUUUCUUUGAAUAAAGAUAUGGUUGCUGAAGCUUCAAAGCCUACUGAUUAUAGCAAAAACAAAAGUUUGUUACCAGAAACUAAUUCCUUAGAAGUAGUACGUGAAAUGCCUGAGAAGUUUAAGGAAACGGAGAAACCAGUUUGUGACAUAACGGCAAUGAGUUCUACCAACCAUAUGGAUGAUAGAGAUAUUGAAGAGGGAGAAAUUUCUGGUGACAAUGGGAUGGAUGGCAGACCAAGUGAUGAGCUUUUGCAAGAUACAGUAGUACUUGAGGAACAGAAGGUUCACAAGGGGCAGAUAUCCAAAGAUGUAAUUGAUAGAAAAGAGCAGCUUUGCGAGGAAGUAAAUGACAAGGAUUUUGGUUCCAGUUCCUUUCUGGUGGACGUGGUUGAGGAUGGAAAAAUUGGCAGAGGGGUGGAACUGAGGGAAAGUAGAAGGACUGAUAUGAUUUGUAGACCGGGGGUUGUUCAGGGUCAAAAUGUAAGUGACUCCCAUCCUUUGCUAGAUGGUGGAAGAAUUGAAAUGAAAGAUAAUCGAGUUGACAUGGGUAUUGACUGGUCUGCAGCUGGAAACCAUGGAACCGCGUCCGAAGAAAAGUGGGAUGCUGGUGCCUGUAACAAAAGAAAGCGCGGUCCUCCAAAUAAGGAAAAGAAAGAAAGGAAGAAGGCAAAAGAACGAAAGAAACGGGCAGAGAAGAACAGGGAACUUGGUGUUAAAAGGCUGAAACUGCAACCAUUACAAAAACCAAAGCCUGUAGCAUAUUGCCGCCAUUAUCUGAACGGAAAGUGCAAUCUGGGUGACCAGUGCAAGUAUUCACAUGAUACAGUGCCCUUAACAAAAUCCACGCCCUGUGGCAAAUUUGCACGGAAUGAGUGCAUGAAAGGGGAUGACUGUGGAUAUGAUCAUGACCUCUCUAAGUAUCUCUGUCACCAUUUCAGAGACAAUGGUUUCUGCGGCAGAGGUGAUAGUUGUCUGUUUUCACACAAGAUGCCAUCCAAGGAAGAGAGUGAAACUACUGCUUGUAAACUGAAUUGAAGCCUCCCAUGGUACAGAGUAAUUCCAGGUCUCAACAAGUAAACAUCGGUGGUGCCUCCCAGCAGAAUGUCCAUGCCUUGGGCUUCUCAACGGGGAUCCAUUCUCACAAUAAUACUAAACAGAAUGUGACGGAGAAUGUUUUGAAGAAACCUGAACUAGCUACCACAGGGAUUAGCUUUCCCUCUGUUGAGAAAUCAUCAUUGGUUCAUUCUAGCAUGUCUAAGCAAGGAGGCGUAACCCCCAAUAGGAAUAUGGGUACCAAAGCUGGGAGCCAAAUAGAUCAAAGUCCAUUCAGUUCCGUUCAAAAUUCCAAUGAGAUUUUAAAGAGAACACCAGUAACCACUCCUAAAGGAAUAAAUUUUUUAUCAUUUGCCAAGGCUUCACCAGAUGUUGCAAGAGGUAAAAGCCAAGUCAGCCAUCAGACCAGCCCAGGUGUGUCAGAGACUGUACAAAACUCAAAUGGGAUGCUAAGGUCUGAUAAAACGGCAGCAUCUCUGGGAACAAGCUUUAAACCUUUUGGGAAAUCUUCGGUAGCUAGUCCUACUGGUGGUCAAAACUUGAAUGCGAUGCUACAGGUUAAUCUACCGGCAGCAUCGCAGGGAACACACUUUAAUCCUUUUGGGAACUCUUCACUAGCUGGUUCUGGUAGAGACCAAAACUUUAAAGGCAUUCAAUCAGCAGCAUCACAGGGGACAAGCUUUAAUCCUUUCCGGAAAUCUUUGGUAACUAGUUCUAAUCCUUUUGAGAAAUCUUCGGUAUCUAGUUCUCGUACAGCAGAUCCAGUUAGUUUGACUUCCUGCUGGGGUAAUGGUAGCAAUAGGGAUUCCCGUGAGAGUCAGAAUACAGCUGAUAAAGCCCAAAAUUCAAGCACGGUCUCAUUGAGGCUGCCACCUUCUCCAAUUACUUCAGGUCAAUCUUCAGAUCAUGUAGCAACCAAGUUUUGUAAAGGUACAGCAAAUUCAUUCCAGAGGGGACUCUUUUCUACCCUAGCAUUUGCAGCGAAGUAUAGAGCUCAAAACAUGAACCAGUCAAUUGGUUCAACUGAUACUCAAGUCGAUAAAGGAAACUAGAAUAGCAGCAUCAGCUACAGGUUCGCAGAAUGAUUCAGCAAAAGCUUUUGAAAUUUUGAAUUUCUUGUCUCAUAUUGGUAGUAAAACCAAUCGGUGAGUGUGUUGCAUGGUGUUAAACAGUGAAUGGCUCUGUAGACAGGAUUGAGUUGCAAGAAGGGGAUACUGCUGCCAGAACUGAGAUUGUUGUUUGUUCAGAUUGGUCAAAUAUACCGUGAAAUAUAGAAAGGUAGUAGGCUAGGUGGCAUCUCACUUGCUCUUAGUCUGCGCAAGUAGUAAGUCAUUCGUACAAAUUCAGCUGUCAACAAGGUACAGUUUGCAUUUUUUCAAAUACCGAUGUAAGCAAUAUUUCCUUACAUGUUCUUGAAGAGGUAGUAAUUUGGCACUGUGGUUUAACAGGAUCUUCUUCAUUGAAUUAAUUUCAUCCUGGCCAAAUUUUGUAAAUCGAUACUCAGAUGAAUACCAAUCUCAUGUGGCUGCGUUCUUAAAAUGUUCGUGAUAACAUUCUUUUGCGACCUUGCAUCACUCUGGAAAAGUGGAAAUCCAUCCACUUUCUGCCACUGCUGGAAAACAGAUCGUUUAGGUAUCGGAUUUACUUACUAAUCUGCUGCUCUUUUCUAAUAAUCCAAGGAGUCGUACUAUACAUGAACGUAUAGCAUACAUUGCAUUUUAAGUGACUCAGAUCGACUCGCUAAAUUCUCUUAGACCCUUGAAUUUCGGCAUGUUACUGCUGUAAGAUCAUCCAGCACGUAACUUGGGCUGGUCAAACUACGCGGGAACUUUUGUAAUGCAUUAGCUAUUGGAUUGUAUGUAAGAUAUUUGGCGCUAUUGUGUUGUUAACUUAUUUAAUCUUCAAAGAUUAGACUAAACA
This is an RNA transcript of Pyrus x bretschneideri (Chinese white pear), 3902 nucleotides long. It is a transcript of the gene named zinc finger CCCH domain-containing protein 65, with no coding region annotated. The transcript has 9 exons. The record is from RefSeq and is a predicted model, not a curated record. NCBI's taxonomy places the organism in Eukaryota, Viridiplantae, Streptophyta, Magnoliopsida, Rosales, Rosaceae.